Molecule: unclassified non-coding RNA, 253 nt
Filed under: uncultured Pirellulaceae bacterium
Lineage: Bacteria; Pseudomonadati; Planctomycetota; Planctomycetia; Pirellulales; Pirellulaceae
Description: contains 16S-23S intergenic spacer region
Rfam family: Bacterial small subunit ribosomal RNA
Source: RNAcentral
GACGAACCGUACGAACGUUAUUCGGAAUUACUGGGCUUAAAGGGUGCGUAGGCUGUGCAGAAAGUUGGGUGUGAAAUCCCUCAGCUUAACUGAGGAACUGCGCCCAAAACUACUGCGCUAGAGGGAGACAGGGGUAAGCGGAACUUACGGUGGAGCGGUGAAAUGUGUUGAUAUCGUAAGGAACACCGGUGGCGAAGGCGGCUUACUGGGUCUCUUCUGACGCUGAGGCACGAAAGCUAGGGGAGCAAACGGG